This is an RNA transcript of Stomoxys calcitrans (stable fly), 1259 nucleotides long. It is a transcript of the gene named ADP-ribosylation factor-like protein 2, with no coding region annotated. The transcript is spliced from 6 exons. The record is from RefSeq and is a predicted model, not a curated record. Lineage: Eukaryota; Metazoa; Arthropoda; Insecta; Diptera; Muscidae.
ACAUUUAGAUUCAUUGCAAAAUCACAACAAGAGUAAUAAAAUUUUACUCUGCUAUUGACCUCACAUAUAAGUACAUUCUGAAAUGGAACCCGUUUAAGGUGAAUAACAUCAUAUAACAAAUAGCAAACAAGAAGCAGAGAUAAACAAAAGUAGUAUCGCAUCUGCUGAGCAUAAUUUUAUAUUUCAAAUAUUAGACUAAAUCAUGGGUUUCCUGACAGUUUUGAAGAAAAUGAGACAAAAAGAAAAAGAAAUGCGUAUUCUUUUGUUGGGUUUGGAUAAUGCUGGAAAGACAACUAUACUGAAACGAUUCAAUGGCGAGCCCAUAAAUACUAUUUCCCCAACGCUAGGCUUUAAUAUAAAAACAUUGGAACACAAUGGAUAUACGUUAAAUAUGUGGGAUGUUGGAGGGCAAAAGUCAUUGCGAUCGUAUUGGCGGAACUAUUUUGAGUGCACCGACGGUUUAGUGUGGGUUGUCGAUAGCGCUGACAGGAUGCGUUUGGAGACAUGUAAACAUGAGCUUGAGAUAUUGCUGCAGGAAGAAAGGUUAGCCGGAGCAACUUUAUUAGUUUUGGCAAAUAAACAAGACUUACCAGGAGCGUUAAGCGCAAACGAAAUAAAAGAGAUGCUGCACUUGGACAAUAUUACAACACAUCAUUGGCUAGUUGUUGGCGUUAGUGCAGUAACCGGGGAAAAACUUCUAAAUGCUGUAGACUGGCUAAUUGAUGAUAUAGCUAAACGCAUUUUUACUUUGGAGUAAAACUAUCUUCCAGUAAUGGCUUUGUUUUUCGAUGUUUUCAAAGUUUAAGCAAAUAACUAACGAAACUAAGAUGGUGCUUAACUUGAGCCAAACUUAUGUUCAUAUAAAAGCAACGGCACUGUACAUUCAACUUUUUGGCGAUGGCUAUAAAUUUUUUUCGUGAAUCCACAUCUACAUUUGUAUUAUCAACAACGCAUGAAAUCCCGCUGUCCAUCAAACUACUGAUGCGUAAGUAAUUAUUGGUCCAAUCACGAUCCUGUAGUGCCAAUAGAAUCAAAUUUACUUUUUGAUUGAUCUAUUUUCCAAAUUGUGCUUAAUUUUAUAUGCAGCUAGCAGGGAACGGAGCUCGUCCUCUUCAAUUUAAGGAUAAAAAUUUCCCUUGAACACUUAUAUUAUAUUGUUAAGACUUUUUAGUGAAAUACCAUACAUCGAAAACGAAAUAUGUAUUUCUCUUGAAUAAAAAUAUUUUACUUCCAAAUUCCUUUAUUGGAAUCCCAUAAAA